GUUUAGAAUACCCUGUUGGUGGAACUGGAGCACUUGUUGAGGCUCUUGUUCUCAGAUUUUCCUUCUGAUAAACUUCCAAAAAUGUCAGAACCUUCACAACUUAUGACAGAAAAUACACGUUCUGAUCUUUAUGUUGCACUCCCUGUUCUCAGUCAAGGAAAGAAAUGGGUCUUACUAUACAGUACAUGGAGGCAUGGCAUAUCUCUUUCAACCUUAUAUAGAAGAAGCAAUCUUUGCCCUGGGUUAAGUCUACUGGUUGUUGGAGAUCGUAAAGGUGCAGUGUUUGGCGGUUUAGUUGAGGC
Molecule: long non-coding RNA, 302 nt
Organism: Lactuca sativa (garden lettuce)
Lineage: Eukaryota; Viridiplantae; Streptophyta; Magnoliopsida; Asterales; Asteraceae
Source: RefSeq, a predicted model, not a curated record